GAUGAACGCUGGCGGCGUGCCUAAUACAUGCCAGUCGAGCGAACAGACGAUGAGCUUGUUCCUCUGACGUUAGCGGCGGACGGGUGAGUAACACGUGGAUAACCUACCUAUAAGACUGGGAUAACUUCGGGAAACCGGAUCUAAUACCGGAUAAUAUAUUGAACCGCAUGGUUCAAUAGUGAAAGACGGUUUUGCUGUCACUUAUAGAUGGAUCCGCGCCGCAUGAGCUAGUUGGUAAGGUAACGGCUUACCAAGGCAACGAUGCGUAGCCGACCUGUGAGGGUGAUAGGCCACCUUGGAACUGAGACGGGGUCCAGACUCCUAAGGGAGGCCGCAGUAGGGUAUCUGACGCAGUGGGCGAGAGUCUGACGGAGCAGCGGCGCGUGAGUGGUGAAGGCCUUCGGAUCGUGAAACUGUGUUAUGAGGGGAGAACAAAUGUGUACGUAAAUGUGCCCGUAUUGACGGUACCUAGUAAGAAAGCAACGGCUAACUACGUG
RNAcentral lists this ribosomal RNA (497 nucleotides) under uncultured bacterium. Its description in RNAcentral is "partial 16S ribosomal RNA". It matches the Rfam family "Bacterial small subunit ribosomal RNA", at positions 28 to 507 of the family's 1533-position model. The record is from RNAcentral.